RNAcentral lists this long non-coding RNA (468 nucleotides) under Salmo salar (Atlantic salmon). RNAcentral describes it as "lncRNA (ENSSSAG00000122234.1, ENSSSAG00020069412.1, ENSSSAG00075044543.1)". The record is from RNAcentral. Lineage: Eukaryota; Metazoa; Chordata; Actinopteri; Salmoniformes; Salmonidae.
CUAAAGUACGGAAAUGGUGUCCUCUGCGUUUAUACUUAAUAUUUUGGUGAAUUUAGUACACUAACUAUAUCCAUACUAAAAACUCAAUUCACAUCACAAAUAGUGUGGUUAGUAUUCGAACACGUGCCUUUCAAAGUACAAUAUUCUCUUCAGAUGGUGGUUUUGCUUUUUCUGGAGGAACACCAUAACCCUUGCUUUAUCAAGGAGCUGCUGCAGGACCUGAGCUCCAUCCUGUGCAUCCUGACCUGGGGUGGGUAACAUCAACAUCUGGGUCUGUAGGCUGGAGACCAUUCUUAACUGGCAGCAGCAGCUCAACGACCGCAGAUACCCAAGGAUCUAAGCCCUAGGACCAUGCCUCAGGACUACCUGGCAUGAUGACUCCUUGCUGUCCCCAGUUCACCUGGCUGUGCUGCUGCUCCAGUUUCAACUGUUCUGCCUGCGGCUAUGGAAACCUGACCUGUUCACCGG